Molecule: ribosomal RNA, 303 nt
Filed under: uncultured bacterium
Lineage: Bacteria
Description: bacterial SSU rRNA
Rfam family: Bacterial small subunit ribosomal RNA
Source: RNAcentral
UGGGGAAUAUUGGGCAAUGGGGGAAACCCUGACCCAGCGACGCCGCGUGAGGGAAGAAGGUUUUCGGAUUGUAAACCUCUGUCCUUGGUGACGAUAAUGACGGUAGCCAAGGAGGAAGCCACGGCUAACUACGUGCCAGCAGCCGCGGUAAUACGUAGGUGGCGAGCGUUGUCCGGAAUUACUGGGUGUAAAGGGAGCGUAGGCGGGAGAGCAAGUCGACUGUGAAAUCUAUGGGCUUAACCCAUAGCUGCGAUCGAAACUGUUCAUCUUGAGUGAAGUAGAGGCAGGCGGAAUUCCUAGUGU